AUGAACGCUGGCGGCGUGCCUAAUACAUGCAAGUCGAGCGAACAGACGAGGAGCUUGCUCCUCUGACGUUAGCGGCGGACGGGUGAGUAACACGUAGAUAACCUACCUAUAAGACUGGGAUAACUUCGGGAAACCGGAGCUAAUACCGGAUAAUAUAUUGAACCGCAUGGUUCAAUAGUGAAAGACGGUUUUGCUGUCACUUAUAGAUGGAUCCGCGCCGCAUUAGCUAGUUGGUAAGGUAACGGCUUACCAAGGCAACGAUGCGUAGCCGACCUGAGAGGGUGAUCGGCCACACUGGAACUGAGACACGGUCCAGACUCCUACGGGAGGCAGCAGUAGGGAAUCUUCCGCAAAGGGCGAAAGCCUGACGGAGCAACGCCGCGUGAGUGAUGAAGGUCUUCGGAUCGUAAAACUCUGUUAUUAGGGAAGAACAAAUGUGUAAGUAACUAUGCACGUCUUGACGGUACCUAAUCAGAAAGCCACGGCUAACUACGUG
Molecule: ribosomal RNA, 496 nt
Filed under: uncultured bacterium
Lineage: Bacteria
Description: partial 16S ribosomal RNA
Rfam family: Bacterial small subunit ribosomal RNA
Source: RNAcentral